This 613-nucleotide ribosomal RNA is filed under the name uncultured bacterium. Its description in RNAcentral is "bacterial SSU rRNA". It matches the Rfam family "Bacterial small subunit ribosomal RNA", at positions 24 to 635 of the family's 1533-position model. The record is from RNAcentral.
UCAGGAUGAACGCUGGCGGCGUGCUUAACACAUGCAAGUCGAACGAAGCGCUUUACCUUGAUUCCUUCGGGUUGAUUGGUACUGUGACUGAGUGGCGGACGGGUGAGUAACGCGUGGGUAACCUGCCCCAUACAGGGGGAUAACAGAUAGAAAUGUCUGCUAAUACCGCAUAAGACCACAGCGCCGCAUGGCGCAGGGGUAAAAACUCCGGUGGUAUGGGAUGGACCCGCGUCUGAUUAGCUAGUUGGAAGGGUAACGGCCUACCAAGGCAACGAUCAGUAGCCGACCUGAGAGGGUGACCGGCCACAUUGGGACUGAGACACGGCCCAAACUCCUACGGGAGGCAGCAGUGGGGAAUAUUGCACAAUGGGGGAAACCCUGAUGCAGCGACGCCGCGUGAAGGAUGAAGUAUUUCGGUAUGUAAACCUCUAUCAGCAGGGAAGAAAAUGACGGUACCUGACUAAGAAGCCCCGGCUAACUACGUGCCAGCAGCCGCGGUAAUACGUAGGGGGCAAGCGUUAUCCGGAUUUACUGGGUGUAAAGGGAGCGUAGACGGCAUGGCAAGUCUGAUGUGAAAACCCGGGGCUCAACCCCGGGACUGCAUUGGAAACUG